RNAcentral lists this ribosomal RNA (377 nucleotides) under uncultured bacterium. RNAcentral's name for it is "bacterial SSU rRNA". It matches the Rfam family "Bacterial small subunit ribosomal RNA", at positions 521 to 896 of the family's 1533-position model. The record is from RNAcentral.
UAAUACGUAGGAUGCAAGCGUUAUCCGGAAUUAUUGGGCGUAAAGCGUACGUAGGCGGUUUACCAAGUCUGGGGUUAAAGACCGAGGCUCAACCUCGGGAGUGCCCUGGAAACUGGUAGACUGGAGGACGGCAGAGGAAAGUGGAAUUCCCAGUGUAGCGGUGAAAUGCGUAGAUAUUGGGAGGAACACCAGUGGCGAAAGCGACUUUCUGGGCCGUUCCUGACGCUGAGGUACGAAAGCCAGGGGAGCAAACGGGAUUAGAUACCCCGGUAGUCCUGGCCGUAAACGAUGGAUACUAGGUGUCAUCAGUAUCAACCCUGGUGGUGCCGUAGCUAACGCGUUAAGUAUCCCGCCUGGGGAGUACGGUCGCAAGGCUG